This 625-nucleotide ribosomal RNA is filed under the name uncultured bacterium. RNAcentral's name for it is "bacterial SSU rRNA". It matches the Rfam family "Bacterial small subunit ribosomal RNA", at positions 163 to 774 of the family's 1533-position model. The record is from RNAcentral.
CUAAUACCGGAUGAGCUCUUACUCCUUGAGGAGUAUGAGGAAAGAUAGCUUCGGGCUUCGCAUCGGGACGGGCCCGCGGCCCAUUAGCUUGUUGGUGGGGGUAAAAGCCUACCAAGGCUUCGAUGGGUAGCUGGUCUGAGAGGACGAUCAGCCACACUGGGACUGAGACACGGGCCAGACUCCUACGGGAGGCAACAGUGGGGAAUCUUGCACAGUGCGCGAAAGCGUGAUGCAGCAACGCCGCGUGGGGUAAGAAGGCUUUCGGGUUGUAAACCCCUUUCAGUUGGGACGAAGCUUCGCCGGUUAAUAGCCGGCCGGAGUGACGGUACCUUCACAAGAAGCCCCGGCUAACUACGUGCCAGCAGCCGCGGUAAUACGUAGGGGGCAAGCGUUGUCCGGAAUCAUUGGGCGUAAAGCGCGUGUAGGCGGCCCGGUAGGUCCGCUGUGAAAGUCGGGGGCUCAACCCUCGAAUGCCGGUGGAUACUGUCGGGCUAGAGUGCGGGAGAGGCGAGUGGAAUUCCUGGUGUAGCGGCGAAAUGCGCAGAUAUCAGGAGGAACACCAAUUGCGAAGGCAGCUCGCUGGAACGUAACUGACGCUGAGACGCGAAAGCGUGGGGAGCAAACA